AAACUCCCUAUUUUGUUAUGUCACAAAGGAAGCUAAAGGUAUGCCACACUAAGAGGAAGGGACAGGAAGAGGGAGGGAAGCCAACAGGCUGAAAGGUGGGGACAGGAGAGGAGAGGAGAGGUGUCAAGUUUAUAUAUAUACAGCAAACAUUUUCCCUGAAAAUGUCCAAAAGAAAGCAAGCAAACAAUGGGUUCUGAAAAACUAACUAAAAUCUAAACACAUUUGUAACUUAAAGCCACCAAUAUGUUGAAAUACUUUAGAAAUACUGCAAAAUGUAGAUUCUGUGACUGGUUAAGGUGGCAUAAGAUCUGUGAAAACUGUAAGAAAGAGUUUCUAAAGAGCAAAAGAACCAGGUACCAAUCACUCAGGGCAAGUAGGAGAAGAUGUCUAAUAAGAAGACUACUUCUAGAACAAGGAGGAGGAGGAGAAACAUAAGCAUGAGGAAGACAGCUAUUGUGCAACAAUUUAGGAAAGAACAAGAAGGAAGGCUCUUUGGAACCACAUGAGCAAGGUUUGCGGCCACUGGUCAUUCCCUCAGUAAACUUCAAGCAGCAAAUUUCUAUUGUGAUUUUAUUAUAAGUGUUAUUUCUUGAUAUCUCUAGUUAUUCUUGCAGAAUUUUGAUUGUAGGAUUGACUAGUUAGAAUCCUUGAGCUCAGGAAAGUAAUCAAUCAUACACAAUUAUUUUUAAGGUGAUGCAGCACUUAUAUACAAUACUGUAUGCCCCUUUUUCUAAUUCCU
Molecule: long non-coding RNA, 739 nt
Filed under: Monodelphis domestica (gray short-tailed opossum)
Lineage: Eukaryota; Metazoa; Chordata; Mammalia; Didelphimorphia; Didelphidae
Description: lncRNA (ENSMODG00000039942.1)
Source: RNAcentral